Molecule: ribosomal RNA, 409 nt
Filed under: uncultured bacterium
Lineage: Bacteria
Description: bacterial SSU rRNA
Rfam family: Bacterial small subunit ribosomal RNA
Source: RNAcentral
CAGCAGCCGCGGUAAUACGUAGGUGGCGAGCGUUGUCCGGAAUUACUGGGUGUAAAGGGCGUGUAGGCGGGGCGUCAAGUCAGGUGUGAAAUUCCGAGGCUUAACUUCGGGUGUGCAUCUGAGACUGAUGUUCUUGAGUGUCGGAGAGGAAAGUGGAAUUCCCAGUGUAGCGGUGAAAUGCGUAGAGAUUGGGAGGAACACCAGUGGCGAAGGCGGCUUUCUGGACGAUAACUGACGCUGAGGCGCGAAAGCGUGGGUAGCAAACAGGAUUAGAUACCCUGGUAGUCCACGCCGUAAACGAUGGAUACUAGGUGUAGGAGGUAUCGACCCCUUCUGUGCCGGAGUUAACACAAUAAGUAUCCCACCUGGGGAGUACGGCCGCAAGGCUGAAACUCAAAGGAAUUGACGG